UACGGGGGGAGCAAACGUUGUUCGGAAUCACUGGGCGUAAAGCGCACGUAGGCGGACUUGUCAGUCAGGGGUGAAAUCCCGGGGCUCAACCUCGGAACUGCCUCUGAUACAGCAAGUCUUGAGUCCGGAAGAGGUGGGUGGAAUUCCUAGUGUAGAGGUGAAAUUCGUGGAUAUUAGGAAGAACACCGGUGGCGAAGGCGGCCCACUGGUCCGGUACUGACGCUGAGGUGCGAAAGCGUGGGGAGCAAACAGG
RNAcentral lists this ribosomal RNA (253 nucleotides) under uncultured bacterium. RNAcentral's name for it is "partial 16S ribosomal RNA". It matches the Rfam family "Bacterial small subunit ribosomal RNA", at positions 524 to 776 of the family's 1533-position model. The record is from RNAcentral.